RNAcentral lists this ribosomal RNA (484 nucleotides) under uncultured bacterium. RNAcentral describes it as "bacterial SSU rRNA". It matches the Rfam family "Bacterial small subunit ribosomal RNA", at positions 355 to 855 of the family's 1533-position model. The record is from RNAcentral.
UGGGGAAUCUUGGACAAUGGGGGCAACCCUGAUCCAGCCAUGCCGCGUGAGUGAUGAAGGCCUUAGGGUCGUAAAGCUCUUUCGCCUGUGAAGAUAAUGACGGUAGCAGGUAAAGAAGUCCCGGCUAACUCCGUGCCAGCAGCCGCGGUAAUACGGAGGGGACUAGCGUUGUUCGGAAUUACUGGGCGUAAAGCGCACGUAGGCGGACCAGAAAGUUGGGGGUGAAAUCCCGGGGGCUCAACCCCGGAACUGCCUCCAAAACUAUUGGUCUAGAGUUCGAGAGAGGUGAGUGGAAUUCCAAGUGUAGAGGUGAAAUUCGUAGAUAUUUGGAGGAACACCAGUGGCGAAGGCGGCUCACUGGCUCGAUACUGACGCUGAGGUGCGAAAGUGUGGGGAGCAAACAGGAUUAGAUACCCUGGUAGUCCACACCGUAAAACGAUGAAUGCCAGUCGUCGGGUAGCAUGCUAUUCGGUGACACACCUAA